Molecule: transfer RNA, 74 nt
Filed under: Potamyia chinensis
Lineage: Eukaryota; Metazoa; Arthropoda; Insecta; Trichoptera; Hydropsychidae
Description: tRNA-Asp
Source: RNAcentral
AAAGAUUUAGUUAAUAAACCAAAUAAUAUAAAUUUGUCAAAUUUAAGUAAUUUAACUAAAAUAAAUAAUCUUUU